UACGGGGGGGGCAAGCGUUGUUCGGAAUUACUGGGCGUAAAGGGCUCGUAGGCGGCCAACUAAGUCCGACGUGAAAUCCCCAGGCUUAACCUGGGAACUGCGUCGGAUACUGGAUGGCUUGAAUCCGGGAGAGGGAUGCGGAAUUCCAGGUGUAGCGGUGAAAUGCGUAGAUAUCUGGAGGAACACCGAUAGCGAAGGCAGCUUACUAGACUGUAACUGACGCUGAUGCACGAAAGUGUGGGGAUCAAACAGG
This 253-nucleotide ribosomal RNA is filed under the name uncultured bacterium. RNAcentral describes it as "partial 16S ribosomal RNA". It matches the Rfam family "Bacterial small subunit ribosomal RNA", at positions 524 to 776 of the family's 1533-position model. The record is from RNAcentral.